RNAcentral lists this ribosomal RNA (258 nucleotides) under uncultured bacterium. RNAcentral's name for it is "partial 16S ribosomal RNA". It matches the Rfam family "Bacterial small subunit ribosomal RNA", at positions 524 to 776 of the family's 1533-position model. The record is from RNAcentral.
UACGUAGGGUGCAAGCGUUUUUUUGUCCGGAAUUAUUGGGCGUAAAGAGCUCGUAGGCGGUCUGUCGCGUCGGCUGUGAAAACCCGGAGCUCAACUCCGGGCCUGCAGUCGAUACGGGCAGACUGGAGUUCGGCAGGGGAGACUGGAAUUCCUGGGUGUAGCGGUGAAAUGCGCAGAUAUCAGGAGGAACACCGAUGGCGAAGGCAGGUCUCCUGGGCCACUACUGACGUGAGAACGAAAGCAUGGGGAGCGAACAGG